Cuculus canorus (common cuckoo) is the source of this 9549-nucleotide long non-coding RNA. RefSeq lists it as uncharacterized. The transcript is spliced from 3 exons. Lineage: Eukaryota; Metazoa; Chordata; Aves; Cuculiformes; Cuculidae. The record is from RefSeq and is a predicted model, not a curated record.
GGGGGGGGCGCCGCCCACGCGCCUCCCUCUGCCCGCAGAGGCGCUCCAGCCGCCAGCACCGCCCGCGCCUGCGUAGCGGAACCACCCGACUGAAGACUCCGCCCUAGCAGCUGCCGACACCCCGACAACAACAGGAGCCGGGUGAUACCGAAAAUGGCGCAAAGAAACUCUUCAAGACUCGUUUUGGAGUUUGGAAAAGGGCGCGCCCUUUGUCAGGAGGAACACGAGGAGCGAUCGCUUACCAUCGCGUGCCCCGAGACGGAGCUGGGGACGGAACGGGUUCACCGCUUACACACAUGAGAUAAAUUCUCCCAGAAAUCUUAGAUAUUUCUGUUACUUUCCAAGGACGAAUUUUAAUAUUAUGAAAUUUCGCUACAGUUAAAACUCUUGCUCAGUUGAAGCUUUGGAGCGGGCUCUGCCUGAUCUUGCAUUAUAGAUAAGAUGAAAACUCCAAACAGAGGGGAUUACAGAAGAAGAGACAUCUGUUCAGCUCAGAUCACACUGCACACAAGACGUUGUCAUCUUCAAAGAAUGACUGGAAAAACACCGUAUUAAAACUUGUUUAUUAGAGGGACAUCCUGUCUAACUUUCAAAAACCACAAUCCCUUAGAUGAAACUAACAGAUGACUGUACUUCAGCUGAAAUCAAAAUAUUCCACUUUUUGCAAUAGUACUGCUUGUAUUACAAGAGGGAAGGCCACAUUAGCUGAGGAAUUGCCCCUCUUUGGAUACAGUGCGGGUCAGAGGUGGACUGGGAGAGACAUGUGUAGCCAUUCCAUUGCUCACUGCAGUGCUUCUCUCUUACGCGGACUGUCAGAUGGGUUUUGCAUGGAACACACAAACACUGGCAGCUUAUUCACUGAUAACAGACCACAUGGUAUGUGCUGCUAGUCCUACAGCUGGCCUCGGUUUGAGGAGCAAAGGAUUUGUCAUCCUGCUGCACAAAAAGAAUACAGCCGGCAAGUUUUAUUCCUGUGCAAGAAGAGAGCGGUGCUGUCCCCAUGGGUAGCUCCUGUUUUAUUUCAGUCUCUGCAUUCACUGCACCUGGCUGGGAUACAGUGUUUCUUAGAACUUUGCUGAAGAUCAAAGAACUGUGUACUACAUUUUGAAGACUAGCCACAUACCACAGUGGGGUUUAUUUAAUACAACUUUAGUUUCUGAUUGAAUCAACUCUCAAAAAUGGAUUGCCCUACAAAUAUCCCAGAAUAAGUUUGUUCUGUUGGCUUGGAUAAGAAGAAAAGCAUCAUAACACUUGUAGGAUUAUCCUGGAGGUGAGAUAAAAGGAGUUAUGCUUAUGUGCACAAAAAAUGUCAUAGAUUAUACAUACACAAAAACCCUACAAUAUAAAAAAGUGUCCAAUGCUGUGAAGCAAAGCACUCAAAACUGCCAGAACUGGGGUUACUCAUGCCCCAUUUGCACUUGGAUUUACACUUUUUAGUAUGUUUAUAAAAUCUGUGAUCAUAUCUACCAUAUCUUUGCCUUAUUCAGUGCACAAAAUAGGCAGAGCCCACUUAGCAAUCAGCUCUGAGAUUUUGUUUCAUUUUCACAGUGCAGUAGGUGGCCUGUACAUUAGAGUGCAGUACCUUGACAAUAUAAGCAAGCGCUACUCUUCUCUGCACCUGUGGCUAUGUGAUUCUACCCUCCCUGACACUGACACUUUCCCAUAUCUUAUCCCACAGAGGCCAAAUCAAGAGCAAAGUCAGCAAGGAACAAGUAUCUUUUACUUUGUGGGUUUUUUUUUGAUCUGUUGUGCUGUCUGUGGGGCUUUAUGAUAAUGAGGGUGGGCACAAGGAAUAAUGUGGAAUGUGGCGGGUAGAUGUGCUUGGGGACAUGAUUUAGUAGUAGACAAGUAUGGUUGGAGUUGAUGAUCUCAAAGAUCUUUUCCAACUGAAUGAUUCUAUGAUUCUAUGUGGAGUGCUAAGUUGUUUGCAUCUGGUUGAACUGACUUAGGUAAACUUUAACUCCCAUGGAAUUCCAUGUUAAUCUAUUUUUAACCUACUCUAAAGUAGAUCAGUUUCUAUGAAGCUUUUCUUCCACAAGUGAAUUGGGAGCAGAAUCCUUUGGGCACAGUUCUGUUACCAGAAAAGUGAAAUCCUCUUUUCUCUUCAGCAGUGCCGUGCCUUAGUCAUGACAGCACUUGUAACACAUGAAGCUGGGUUUUUCCAGACAGCCUUACCCUUGAUGAAUAGUCAUAGUUUGUUCUCUGGACAUUGUUUUCCUCUCAGCAAAAUGAGGAAGAAGUUUUAUGAAAAGGGAACCACCAUAAACCACUUGACUCUAAAAUGCAAUGUGUAUUUGAUCAUUGCUACCUAAACCUGUAAAGCCAUAAUUCAGUCUCAGCAGGUUCCUGUCCUCUUCUAUGCUGUUCUUUGCUAAUUGCUCUGCAUGCUUCUGAGUUGUCUUGGAUGGAAGAGUCACAGCUGUUACUGGGCACUACUGAUAGUAACAAAAGACACUGACUAGUUCUCCCGGAAGCAGUGGAAUCGGUGGCUUGAUACCACAUUCACCUUCUGUGUUUUACUUUGGGCUUCUCUUGCAUGUGAACUUUGGAGCAGGGUGUAAUUUUGGACAGCAAAAAGUUGCUGCUUUACUUCUUAUCUUGACACCUGUCUUUCAUUAAAAUAGGCUUCAGUAGACUAGAAGUAACUUGUAGAUUAAGGCAACUCAAGUCUUAUCACUGCAGAUUUUUACUGUUGGGUGCUUAAGCUCUCUGCAUAAUGUGUAGAGAGAUAGUCACUUAAAAAAUAACAGAUUGUAAGAUGUAGAAUGAGAGCUUUUCUGCAAAAGCAUACCUGGAAGUUGCUACCUUUUAACCAAUCAUCUUUGAGGGAAAUCUAAGUUCAAUGCCCAAGGGAUUUGUGGUCACAGACUUACUUGCAAGACAAGAUAUUUUGAGCGCUACUCUUGAGUUCUUCCUAUUGGUGCUAUUAAUACUUCAAUAUCUGACAAUUCUUGUUCAUGGGCUACAGAAAGAGAUUCUUGCUUUUCAAUUGUCCACAGUCAAUGGAAGCAUAGUUGCCUGUGGAUAUUUACCAGUGGCUGAGAGGAAAUUCAUGUCACAUGAAUGAACACUGGAUCACGAAUUUUGGACGUGGAUACAUAAAUCCUUUUCAUCAUUGUGUUUGACAUCUGUUGGAUUUGACUAGGCUGCUCUCCACAAACAUCUCUGAGUUCACUGUCCCUUAAAUAGGCCCAAUCUAUAGACUAGCUUGCUUACCACUGUCAGAGUUGCUGUUAUAGAUCCCACACAGAGCUAAUAAUUUGCUAUUUUCUUCUAACUUCUCAUUCAUAGAGUUCAUCACAACUUCGCUGCAUUAUUGUUCCUCCUCCUCAGUCCUUUUGGCUGUUCUUGCCCUUCUCCCUUCACACCUUAUUUCUUACUGAUAGAAGGAUCGUCUGUGUCUAUUUUGGUCCCUCUUCUAGGCCACUGUCUGUACCUUUUCUCCUGGUGAUGAGGAACUGUGUUUUUGUAAGAUACUGGAAUUCAAUAACUUUGAUGAAAUGAGUAGCUUAUUGUCUUGUACUGUGUGGCACUCAACUAAGAAUAGGACUUCGCCAGUGUGUGCCUAAGACUUACAGUGUCCUCUGAUAUACAUCAAUAACUAGGUUGGGUGGGUUGACUCUACUUUUUUUCCCCCAAAAAAAUAUGGAGAUUAGGAGAUGAGUGAGUUAGAUACAACUAACUUAUCUUGCUUCUCUCCCCCAACCUUUUAUUUGUAAAAAUGGAGGCCUUUCUUCAGGAGACACAUUUUGAGAAGCCUAGGCUACAUAUCUGUUCUGACUUCAAUCACAGUUACUUCUGUCCAUCAGCUAGAUACUUUCCUGCCCUAACAGAAAAGUAUCACGGCACAUGCACAGACACUAACAUCUUGUCUCUUCAAAAUAGAGACAGAGACAUCUGCGCACACUGAUGCACCUUCAGUUCUUCUGCCUGCAGUUUGAGAAGAUGCUAACUUGGGAAUUAUCUUAGCUAUGCUUUGAGCAGGGAGUUGAAUAGAUGACCUUCUGAGAUCACUUCCAAUCUAAAUUACCAUUCUAAGAUACAUCAAACUACAGGAAAGCAGGGACAAAGACAACAAAUAAACAUUCAGUCUGUGAAUCUCAAUAAACUCUGGCUAUUAGUAAGUUUGGACUUUUUUACAAUGAGUAAAAAAUCGUCCACAUACAUCGUCCACAUACAGAUGAUGAGUCUGUAUGUGGAUUUUUCUAGUUCAUAUGGAUUAAUGCAUGACAUCACCUUUAGCAUGAUCUGAACCCUUUGCAAAAACAGCCGUCUUACAUCUGCUCUUUUCAACUUCUAUAAGCUUUAGUUGGAUGAAAAUAGAGGUCAAUAUGGGCAUUUUGCUGCCUCAAGGAUGAAAAGCCUCCCGGUGUUCAAGCAUUGUCAGUGGUAUAUGUUUUAAUUACUAAGGUCAGCUUUGCCAUAGCAAAUUUUAGUGUAAUUUUAUUAGCCAGUUAGCCAGAACAGUGGUUUUGGCUUUGGCUAUCCUAGCAAUGGAGGCAAACAGUCUCAGGAUAUGUUUGAAAUACCUUGACUUGUGAAUGACUUGACUUCAAGACUACUUACCAUAUAUUCCUGAUAUGUGCUACUUCUGAAUCCUGGAUGCUUGAGAUCAAGAAUUAAAAAUGACUGAGUUGAGUUUAAGAAUGGCUUUUCUAUAAUGAUAGAGACUUUGCAAAGUAGUGGAAGCUGGAAGCUGUUCAGUACUCUGAACAGGUAGACUGUAAACACAUGAAUGCUAUGCCUGAUCUGCCAAGUGCUGGAGUAAAGACAUGGGCAAGUAUUUGUGUUGCCCUGUUUGCUAAUAUAAGGCAUCAUGGUACUAGUUGUCAGUUGUACAGGAUUAUCAUACCAGGGCCUUUUAUUUCUCACAGGUUUGAAACUUCCCAGCUGUGUGAAUAGCCACUUCAUUCCCCAACCAAUGUUCUCAGCACUGUUGAAUAAGGAGGGCAAAGGGAUGGCACAAUAUGUCUAUAUACAGUAUGAAACCAUUUGGGUAAGGCAAUGUUCCCUGAAGGAAACUGGGAAUAUGGAUUGUAUAAAUGGAUGUUUGCAGAAGGGUUGUAUAUGAAGCCUGGCAAAAAGCCAUAAAGAUGUGUUGGUGUGUGUCCUGCAUUCUCCGCUUUCAGUUAGGUGAGGACUCUUGUUAGCCCCGAGACCAGACACAGUGGUUAAGCAUUGAGUUGAUAUAAUUAAACCUUUCUUUUCCAAAGUAGGGUGGCUCCUUCAGACUGUCUGCAGCAGCAGUUGUUAGUACAUGCUGUCCCCCCAAACAUACCCCAAGGCACUGACUGAAAGGUUAGACGUGUGUUAAGGGAAAUGAGAAAAUAUGAUAAAUAUAUCCAUGUAGGACUUAGAUUUAUUGAUAGCUGAUUGUGAUAAGGACAGUAUUGUAUUAGGAAUAUAAUAAGAAUAGAUGUUGGAAAAUAAUCUUUAUGACAACUACAAGAACACUGUUCAAAUGUCCCAUGUAUAGCCCCAGUCCAGCUGAAUCAACAGAUUAUGUAAGAAAUAUCAGACUUACCUAUUUUUUAAUAUAGGCAUAGACUAGGUAUGGGUAUAAUUUGAUGGAACAGCUUGAGGUUUUUCUUUGAAGUUUAAAGGUGAAUAGAUGUGUCUCAAGAAAGAAGAUAUGACUGGAACAUGACCCGUUGAAGCAUCACUUUGGAGGGAGAACCGAAACGAGACAGUGGAGCUGAAUUAUCAUGGUGGACUUUUGUGGACUUUUGAGUUAACAAAGAAUGAAGAACUAGGAGCAUGUGGAAAAACACCAAGAACUUUUUACAGUAAAUAUCUAUCGUAUAAUGCUAUGUUAAAAUGUAUAAAUAUCCGAUGAUUUUGUGUGGGUUUUUGCCAUUCACUGAGGUUAUGGCCCAACUCUGAGCUGUGAAUAAAGCAAGCCUAGAGCUAUCCACUGUCUGGUAAAAAUCUUUCAACAAGGUGGCACUGACCAGAACAGUGCUAGGGCAUAGUUCAGCAAUCAAACAGUCACACUAUUUCUGCUUAUGCCUCUACCCCGAUCCUUAUAAUUUUUUAGUAUAGGUGUAACCUCAGUUGAGAACCUUGGGGCCUGCAAAGUUAAAAUACAUUAUCUAUAGCAGAGCUAAACACCAACAAAGCUUUUUUCAGAGGUUAACACUGACUCAUUCUCUAACUCAGUAGGGAAGCAAUGUUUUUCCAGUAGCAAGCUGUUAUUGUGGCUAGGAUCUUGAUAAAUAUGUCUGGAACCAAAGAUGGCCAAACUAAAGGACUGUAAGGUGGUAUUGGUAUCACCAGUAGAGAAACACAGCUAUUAGGCAGUCCCCUGCUGCUAUUCAUAUGAACAUACUUCAAGUGCAGCAUACAAAACAUAUCUUUCCUACAGAGGCAUUAUCAUGAUCAUCCUGACUUGAAUUUGAAUUUGCAGGUCAUCUUGGGCACUUAUAAGGUCAGACAUGGCCAUCACCCCCUGUUCUGCUGAAGUGUCACUAGUAUCCUGAGACUACCUGAGGAAAGCAGGUUAUAAUGUCACCCCUGAUCAACAACGGUGUGUAAUGAGGAACUGACUUCACAUAUAGAAAUAUCCAUAGCUUUAGUUCUGUGCACUGAGCUUCAAAGAGUUACAAAUAGUACUUUGUGAGACAUGCAGGAAGGUUAGCUGCUUUGUAAGGGAAGGAGAAGCUGUGGUUUCUUGUUGGUUACAGAGACCUCCCUGGACUCCUCACCAUCCUACGACCAUAUCCAGUGCUCCCAGCAAAGUACAUACAAAUGGAAGUUUGCCUUCAGUGCUUAUCUGGGCCCUGUGGAAAGGAGAGUGCAGAAUAUCCAUGUGAAAGGUUGAACUUUCAUGUGCAGUGUGCUGCACCAGAACAGCUGUCAUCUCUGAACAGUUUCCACCUUUUCCAAGGACCAAUGCAAGCUUUAAAUAAAAGACAAAUGAUUGAGAAAGGACAAAUGACAGUGGAAGUCAAUCGUGAGGUGGAGGAAAGGGCAAAUGGAAAAAGCCCUAUUUAAUCCUUUCUCUUGCUUGUUCAGGAUGAAGAUGUGUUCUGACUUCUUGUGCUCUCUGCCCCCAGGCAAAGCUUAAUGCUGCUAGAGCUUAGCCAUUCACCCUGGAUGCACCUCCAGAUUAGGCUGUGUAUACAUGGGCGUAUCUAGAACAGAGGUAUUUUUAUUACGGAUACAGUGGAAGAGAAUCUGCUAAGUAAAAAGUUUAAAUCAACUGGUAACAGUGGAACAGAGGUGCAAAACAGGCCUUUUAAGAUGCAUUGACAAGCAGCCCUUUGACAGGUUAAAAAAGAGAGGCUAGGUUCUGGUUAAUUAGCAAAGUACUCUGAGUACUUUAAGCAGAUGCUCAUCUAGAUGUUUCUAUCCCUGGUCAGUUAUUUUUGAAGCAUUAAGGACACACAGCAGGGAGGAACUGUUAAAGUGUAGACUCUAAAUUGCAUACCAGACCAACAAAUAACAGCCAAAUAGUGAUCAGGUGUUUCUAAGAAUGCAUGCAUAUAAUUAACUCCAAUACUUGAAUACCAAACUGAGAUUGCAGUCCUAGUAUCUAGUUCCUUUAAAAGUCUGAAAACAAGUUCCCUUCUCCUUGCAGAAGACUGGAGUGAAAACAAGAAUUGCAAGUGUUACUUCAGAAGGAAUAUCUAAACCUCAAUGCAAAAUAAGAGCAACUGUGGGAUUCUCAAAGCAGGAAAUAGAGCAACUUAUUCUUUCUUUUUUCACCUGAAUGUGCAGUUCAGAAGCAAGGCUGAACAGUCUUUGACUGCACCUAGUUCUGCUAAUUGUCUGUCCUUGAGGUGUAUGUGUUGUACUGCAGAAACUGACAAGUUUGGCUUGCUUAUAAUAGCAAUGAGAGGAGAAACCCCUUACCUCACACUAGUUCAUCCAGGUAGCACAGGACAUUACUGAUCAAUUAUAACAUUUCGUGUUACUUUCUUUGGAUUGAAGAUAGUUUUCAAAUUUGAUACAAACCAGCAGUUUUUACAUUGCAGUAAAAAGGGGCGUUUCUGCUGAAAACUGUUGUCUGAUUCUAAUACAGUGUGAUAUGGAAUGGUAUAUUCAAAGUCAAUUUUUUUUCUUUUGGCAAUUCACCUUCAUUACAAAAAAUUCUUUUAACUUAGGAAGAAUCUAUAGUGAGCAUUCAACCAUGUAUACCUGCAUUUUGCACCAUCCCCAAUGUAUCCAUGUUAAAUAAAUGCAUUUCUCCAGUAACAGUGCAAUAUUCCUUUUGCAAUUAGUUGUUAACUUUUCCUAGACCUUUCCAGUUUUUUAUUGGUUGCUUUCUCUUCUUUUUUUUUUUUUUUUUUAAUUUUGUUCAGGUUAAGCACUAGCUUAAUUAAAUUAAAGUGUAAUUAUUUUUAAGGAAGAAUUAUAUUUUCGCGGAAGUGCAAACCCCUCCGUGGAUUCUUCCUGAUUUAAAGGAAGCUUCUAUGGUUAUAGCUUGCACCUACCAGUCAUACAAAGACAAACCUAUCAGACUGAUUUCUCAAUAUACUCAUUCCAAUAGCUGAAAUGGAUCUGCUGUAUUGUAUUCAUUAACCUGCCCUGGAGUUCUAAUGGUUUAUAAGAUUUUAAUCUCUGUAUUUACAGUGUAUUAACUUAUUUUACAGUGUAUUAACUGCUUUUAAAAUGCAUCAAAACUUCAAAAUAAAUGGAUGUUUCCAGACAAAGCCUCCCUCUUAAAGACAGAAGAAUCUUAUUUGACUGAUACUCCGAUUUCAUUCACUCAGACUGUUACAUUGGUUUCUAGUGCAGUUACUCUUUUCAGCCUUGCUCUGAUGCUUGUUUUGGUAAUUCAUUUACUUUAUACAUGGUUCCUUACCUGAAUUAGCACAUGCUCUUCCUUAAGUGCACCUGACAUUUGUGUUGGAAUCAUGCUGAAGGAAGUGUUCUGCUUUGAUAAGGAAAGCUAAUUUAUUUUUAAGUACUUGGCUAAUUUUUUCUCUGUCAUAUCCUUGAUGAAUAUUUCUUUUCAGUUAUACUAGGGAGCCUCACUGGCUCUCGUUAAAAUGACAAAAAGUUUUUUCCAAGGGAAACCUCUCCUGUCUAACACAUCUCUCAUCCCAUUCUCUGGUAAGCUAGCUCCUUUGCUCUUGUGUGAGCAGAGCAUGUGAACUCAGUGCUGCAGCAGCCCAGAUGAUCCAUGAUUCACACUCUGUAUUAAGUUGAAGAGUAUGCAACAAUUUCUGUAACCUGUAGAUACUGUUAAAGGUGGGAAGCAACCAUUGAGAGUUCUUUGACAUCUCAUUGAUGAUGCUUAACCAUUUCAAUUCCCUGCUACUCCUUAGCAGCUGUUCAGUACUCAGAGAAGGGUUAGCCACAUGAAAGGAUUGGCUUCUGGGUGCAAUUUUUGUGAGUCCAACUUAAAUGCUAGUUCAGUGUCUCCUAAAAAUGGCAUGUUUUUUAGUCUUCUCCCCUACUCCUUCACACAGAUUUUCUAAGUGGUGCCAUUCUCCCUGUCCCCACCUUGUCACUGCAGUUCUAAGCAAAGAAAUAGCCAGCUCUCCAGCUGCUGGCUUUAGCUCAGGAGUGGAAGUUUGAGAAUUUGGUGAUGGCUGGGUGAUG